UGUCGGGUAAGUUCCGACCUGCACGAAUGGUCUAAUGAGUUGCACACUGUCUCCUCCACGAGCCCGGUNCGGUGCUGGAAGGUUAAGGAAGGAUGUUCGGAGUAAUCCAAAGCUUCUGACUGAAGCCCCAGUAAACGGCGGCCGUAACUAUAACGGUCCUAAGGUAGCGAAAUUCCUUGUCGGGUAAGUUCCGACCUGCACGAAUGGUCUAAUGAGUUGCACACUGUCUCCUCCACGAGCCCGGUGAAAUUGUAGUAUCGGUGAAGAUGCCGGUUACCCGCCACGGGACGGAAAGACCCCGUGAACCUUCACUACAGCUUUACAUUGAUCUUGAACAACCGAUGUGUAGGAUAGUUGGGAGACUAUGAGCCGGCUUCGCCAGGAGUCGGGGAGUCACUGUUGAAAUACCAACCUUCUGUUGUUUAGGACCUAACCCAAUGCGAUUGGGGACAUUGUAUGGCGGGUAGUUUGACUGGGGUGGUCGCCUCCUAAAAAGUAACGGAGGCUUGCAAAGGUACCCUCAGUACGGUUGGUAAUCGUACGAAGAGCAUAUUGGUAUAAGGGUGCUUGACUGUGAGACAGACACGUCGAACAGGGACGAAAGUCGGCUAAAGUGAUCCGGUGGUUCUGUAUGGAAGGGCCAUCGCUCAAAGGAUAAAAGGUACUCCGGGGAUAACAGGCUGAUCUUACCCAAGAGCUCAUAUCGACGGUAAGGUUUGGCACCUCGAUGUCGGUUCGUCACAUCCUGGGGCUGGAGAAGGUCCCAAGGGUUCGGCUGUUCGCCGAUUAAAGUGGCACGCGAACUGGGUUCAGAACGUCGCAAGACAGUUCGGUCCCUAUCUGUGGUGGGCGCAAGUAAAUUGAGGGAACAUGCUCUUAGUACGAGAGGACCGGAGCGUAUGUACCGCUGGUGUACCAGUUGUGAUGCCAAUUGCAUUGCUGGGUAGCUAUGUACAGACAGGAUAAACGCUGAAAGCAUCUAAGCGUGAAACCUAUCUCAAGAUGAGUUUACUGUUAAGGGUCGUAGGAGACGACUACGUUGAUAGGCUGCAGGUGUACAGGUGGUAACAUCUUAGCUGAGCAGUACUAAUAGCCCGUAAGCUUUAUAAA
RNAcentral lists this ribosomal RNA (1110 nucleotides) under Teleopsis dalmanni. RNAcentral describes it as "bacterial LSU rRNA". It matches the Rfam family "Bacterial large subunit ribosomal RNA", at positions 1819 to 2925 of the family's 2925-position model. The record is from RNAcentral. Lineage: Eukaryota; Metazoa; Arthropoda; Insecta; Diptera; Diopsidae.